RNAcentral lists this small RNA (17 nucleotides) under Arabidopsis thaliana (thale cress). RNAcentral describes it as "ATSL066020". The record is from RNAcentral. Lineage: Eukaryota; Viridiplantae; Streptophyta; Magnoliopsida; Brassicales; Brassicaceae.
GUUUUUUUUUGGUUUUG